ACUUCCCAAGCCGGAACGAAAAGUAGGUUUAGUAUCCAGGUACUGAAUUGCUUUUGGCUUUGUGGUUGUGAUGUUGUGUUUGCAAAUGGUCUGGUGUGCCAGACAU
Molecule: unclassified non-coding RNA, 106 nt
Filed under: Yersinia enterocolitica subsp. enterocolitica 8081
Lineage: Bacteria; Pseudomonadati; Pseudomonadota; Gammaproteobacteria; Enterobacterales; Yersiniaceae
Description: GcvB RNA (RF00022) as predicted by Rfam
Rfam family: GcvB RNA
About the family: The gcvB gene encodes a small untranslated RNA involved in expression of the dipeptide and oligopeptide transport systems in Escherichia coli.
Source: RNAcentral